Molecule: long non-coding RNA, 433 nt
Filed under: Anser brachyrhynchus (Pink-footed goose)
Lineage: Eukaryota; Metazoa; Chordata; Aves; Anseriformes; Anatidae
Description: lncRNA (ENSABRG00000004541.1)
Source: RNAcentral
AUGGUGGAGCAGGCUGUCCCACUGCAGCCCAUGGUGUACCACAGUGGAGCAGAUCUCCAUGCUGCAGCCCAUGGAGGAACCCACAGUGGAACAAGUAGAUCUGGACUGAAGGAGGCUGCAGCACACAGAGAGUGUGGAAAGGUGACUUCAGCACCAGAAAAGAGGGCGCUCAGAAGUGUGCAUGUGAGAGACAUCAGCAUGCAGAUCACUGCAUACAAUAUGCGAUCAAGUUAUUGGAAAGAAAAACAGCCGUAGGUUUAGAAAAAUCAUUUCAGUCUCCCUAUAUUGCUGAUCCUUUGAGUAUCCUGUCUAUAGAAGAAAGAAAUGCAGUUCCAAGGAGCUGGUUUGUCAGAAGGCAAAACACACUCGGUAUGAAAAAAGCAUAAAACCUAGAAUUCAGUUUCAGGCUUAUGUUCUCUAGUUUUCUUUAAAA